This is an unclassified non-coding RNA of Pongo abelii (Sumatran orangutan), 148 nucleotides long. It matches the Rfam family "Metazoan signal recognition particle RNA". Rfam says of the family: The signal recognition particle (SRP) is a universally conserved ribonucleoprotein. Lineage: Eukaryota; Metazoa; Chordata; Mammalia; Primates; Hominidae. The record is from Ensembl.
GCCGGGCGUGGUGGUGCACGCCUGUAGUCCCAGCUACUCAGGAGGCUGAGGAAGGAGAAUUGCUUGAACCCAGGAGGUGGAGGUUGCAGUGAGCCAAGAACAUGGCACUACACUCCAGCCUGGGUGACAGAGCGAGAUCCUGUUUCAA